GCAUGCUUUAAUCAGGGUGCCUACAGAAGCCCAUGGAGCUGCUCCUCGGCAUGAUGGAGGAGCUCUGGUCUGGGAAGAAGGAGAAUCAACAAAACAACAAACAGUUCCUCAUGAAGAUGGUCCAGAUCCUCAGCUUGAUUGGGAGGAGCACAGGAGAUACACACUCUGAAAGAGACGCUCAAAGCCAUGAAAACGGACUGAAUUACAGGAAAAACAGCAUCAGUCUGAGAUUGAAGAUCUGAAACUCCAGGUUCAGCAGACUCAAGAGUCCAUCGAAGCCCUUAAUGAGCAGCUGAAGAACGUGCUGGAGGAGAACGUGUCUUUACAGAAACAGCUGAUCAAAGCAGAAAACAAGCUGCUGUGGUCUCGGCUGAAGAAGAUGCCAGACAUGCAGGAUGGAGGACAGCAGACGGUCCCUGAGGAUUUGAACGUGAAAAGACACACAAUUCAGGAGGGAAACGGAGCGAAUGUGCAUUAAGAGAGCUACAGGUCUUUGAUUGCCAGAAAUGAGCGUUUGCUGCGGCAGCUGGAAGAGGCUCUAAUGAGCCGAUUGCUGCAAAUGAAGAACGUUCCUCUGAUAGACAUCUAGUGUGAAUUUAUUAUAGAUCUGCCCUUCAAAAGAUAAUAUAUGAGGUCACAUCUCUUUUUGUAGAAGCCUUUUGUUUUAUAAACACUCUGUAAAGCAGCAUGGGUUCUGUU
Long non-coding RNA from Sinocyclocheilus rhinocerous, 699 nucleotides. RefSeq lists it as uncharacterized. NCBI's taxonomy places the organism in Eukaryota, Metazoa, Chordata, Actinopteri, Cypriniformes, Cyprinidae. The record is from RefSeq and is a predicted model, not a curated record. The transcript has 5 exons.